UUUAUUGAAACUUUGGUGGAUUUAAUUUAUUUCUAGUGGCGGACGGGUGAGUAACGCGUGGGUAACCUGCCUUAUACUGGGGGAUAACAGCCAGAAAUGACUGCUAAUACCGCAUAAGCGCACAGAACCGCAUGGUUCGGUGUGAAAAACUCCGGUGGUAUAAGAUGGACCCGCGUUGGAUUAGCUGGUUGGCAGGGCAGCGGCCUACCAAGGCGACGAUCCAUAGCCGGCCUGAGAGGGUGAACGGCCACAUUGGGACUGAGACACGGCCCAGACUCCUACGGGAGGCAGCAGUGGGGAAUAUUGCACAAUGGGGGAAACCCUGAUGCAGCGACGCCGCGUGAAGGAAGAAGUAUCUCGGUAUGUAAACUUCUAUCAGCAGGGAAGAUAAUGACGGUACCUGACUAAGAAGCCCCGGCUAACUACGUGCCAGCAGCCGCGGUAAUACGUAGGGGGCAAGCGUUAUCCGGAUUUACUGGGUGUAAAGGGAGCGUAGACGGCGCAGCAAGUCUGAUGUGAAAGGCAGGGGCUUAACCCCUGGACUGCAUUGGAAACUGCUGUGCUUGAGUGCCGGAGGGGUAAGCGGAAUUCCUAGUGUAGCGGUGAAAUGCGUAGAUAUUAGGAGGAACACCAGUGGCGAAGGCGGCUUACU
This 652-nucleotide ribosomal RNA is filed under the name uncultured Lachnospiraceae bacterium. Its description in RNAcentral is "bacterial SSU rRNA". It matches the Rfam family "Bacterial small subunit ribosomal RNA", at positions 63 to 730 of the family's 1533-position model. The record is from RNAcentral. Lineage: Bacteria; Bacillati; Bacillota; Clostridia; Lachnospirales; Lachnospiraceae.